RNAcentral lists this transfer RNA (74 nucleotides) under Chlamydiota bacterium. RNAcentral describes it as "Chlamydiae bacterium tRNA-Met". It matches the Rfam family "tRNA". From Rfam's summary of the family: Transfer RNA (tRNA) molecules are approximately 80 nucleotides in length. Their secondary structure includes four short double-helical elements and three loops (D, anti-codon, and T loops). Further hydrogen bonds mediate the characteristic L-shaped molecular structure. tRNAs have two regions of fundamental functional importance: the anti-codon, which is responsible for specific mRNA codon recognition, and the 3' end, to which the tRNAs corresponding amino acid is attached (by aminoacyl-tRNA synthetases). tRNAs cope with the degeneracy of the genetic code in two manners: having more than one tRNA (with a specific anti-codon) for a particular amino acid; and 'wobble' base-pairing, i.e. permitting non-standard base-pairing at the 3rd anti-codon position. Lineage: Bacteria; Pseudomonadati; Chlamydiota. The record is from RNAcentral.
GGGGCAGUAGCUCAGUGGUUAGAGCAGCGGACUCAUAACCCGCCGGUCGCUGGUUCAAUUCCAGCUUGCCCCAC